UACGGAGGGUGCAAGCGUUAAUCGGAAUUACUGGGCGUAAAGCGCGCGCAGGUGGUUUGUUAAGUUGGAUGUGAAAUCCCCGGGCUCAACCUGGGAACUGCAUCCAAAACUGGCAAGCUAGAGUACGGUAGAGGGUGGUGGAAUUUCCGGUGUAGCGGUGAAAUGCGUAGAGAUAGGAAGGAACACCAGUGGCGAAGGCGACCACCUGGACAGAUACUGACGCUCAGGUGCGAAAGCGUGGGGAGCAAACAGG
Molecule: unclassified non-coding RNA, 253 nt
Filed under: uncultured Pseudomonadaceae bacterium
Lineage: Bacteria; Pseudomonadati; Pseudomonadota; Gammaproteobacteria; Pseudomonadales; Pseudomonadaceae
Description: contains 16S-23S intergenic spacer region
Rfam family: Bacterial small subunit ribosomal RNA
Source: RNAcentral